UACAGAGGGGGCAAGCGUUGUUCGGAAUUACUGGGCGUAAAGGGCGCGUAGGCGGCCUGUUAAGUCGAACGUGAAAUCCCCGGGCUUAACCCGGAAAUGGCGUUGGAAACUACCUUGCUUGAGGGUUGGAGGGGGGACUGGAAUACUUGGUGUAGCAGUGAAAUGCGUAGAUAUCAAGUGGAACACCAGUGGCGAAGGCGAGUCCCUGGACAACUCCUGACACUGAGGCACGAAAGCUAGGGGAGCAAACGGG
This 253-nucleotide ribosomal RNA is filed under the name uncultured bacterium. RNAcentral's name for it is "partial 16S ribosomal RNA". It matches the Rfam family "Bacterial small subunit ribosomal RNA", at positions 524 to 776 of the family's 1533-position model. The record is from RNAcentral.